RNAcentral lists this ribosomal RNA (250 nucleotides) under uncultured bacterium. RNAcentral's name for it is "partial 16S ribosomal RNA". It matches the Rfam family "Bacterial small subunit ribosomal RNA", at positions 524 to 773 of the family's 1533-position model. The record is from RNAcentral.
GACAGAGGGUGCAAACGUUGUUCGGAAUUACUGGGCGUAAAGCGCGUGUAGGCGGCUUUGUAAGUCGGAUGUGAAAUCCCGCGGCUCAACCGUGGAAGUGCACCCGAAACUGCAAGGCUAGAGUAUCGGAGAGGAAGGUGGAAUGCUUGGUGUAGAGGUGAAAUUCGUAGAUAUCAAGCGGAACACCGGUGGCGAAGGCGGCCUUCUGGACGAUUACUGACGCUGAGACGCGAAAGCGUGGGUAGCAAAC